Molecule: long non-coding RNA, 475 nt
Organism: Austrofundulus limnaeus
Lineage: Eukaryota; Metazoa; Chordata; Actinopteri; Cyprinodontiformes; Rivulidae
Exons: 3
Source: RefSeq, a predicted model, not a curated record
AGUGGUGACAACAGCACUUAUAGAAAACAUGUUUUUUAUGGUGUUUUUCUUUUUUGGGGGACAAUUGACUGACUAAAUAUGUUGUUAAAGAGGAAAUAUAUUUCUUAUGGAGUGUUUUGAGUGCUUCAAGUCCAGGAAGAGGGAUUUUUUGUGGCCAGGAAACUUCAUGAGAGAAGGAUAACUUCAAUCUGGAUGCCAUUUUGGAUAUUUUUUGGUCAGUAAAAGAGGACAAAUUCUGCAUCAAAAGCUGUCGGAGCGCUCCACCUCCUCUGUCCGGUGCUGGUGUGGUAUGAGGCGGACAGCUCAGCCAAGGCUGCUGGAGCUCAAGAUCCUGAUCCAGGGAGCCAACAUGAGUCAGUCCCAGACUAAACUGACUUGAUCAAGUCUCUCUCUGCCUCUGAUGAAAAAAGGUGAUAGUGAUAUUUCUGAAUGCCAUGUCAGGACUGGAUCUGAUGCAACAAUAUAUUUCUGCAUU